This 404-nucleotide ribosomal RNA is filed under the name Bacillota bacterium. Its description in RNAcentral is "Firmicutes bacterium partial 16S ribosomal RNA". It matches the Rfam family "Bacterial small subunit ribosomal RNA", at positions 355 to 776 of the family's 1533-position model. The record is from RNAcentral. Lineage: Bacteria; Bacillati; Bacillota.
UGGGGAAUAUUGGACAAUGGGCGCAAGCCUGAUCCAGCCAUGCCGCGUGAGUGAUGAAGGCCUUAGGGUUGUAAAGCUCUUUUGUCCGGGAAGAUAAUGACUGUACCGGAAGAAUAAGCCCCGGCUAACUUCGUGCCAGCAGCCGCGGUAAUACGAAGGGGGCUAGCGUUGCUCGGAAUCACUGGGCGUAAAGGGCGCGUAGGCGGACUUUUAAGUCGGAGGUGAAAGCCCAGGGCUCAACCCUGGAAUUGCCUUCGAUACUGGGAGUCUUGAGUUCGGAAGAGGUUGGUGGAACUGCGAGUGUAGAGGUGAAAUUCGUGGAUAUUCGCAAGAACACCGGUGGCGAAGGCGGCCAACUGGUCCGAAACUGACGCUGAGGCGCGAAAGCGUGGGGAGCAAACAGG